Molecule: long non-coding RNA, 1619 nt
Organism: Rhea pennata
Lineage: Eukaryota; Metazoa; Chordata; Aves; Rheiformes; Rheidae
Exons: 2
Source: RefSeq, a predicted model, not a curated record
CUCUGCCGGGCGCCGGUGCACGCUGCUGGGGACGAGCCGCUACGGAUGCGCCGCGGGCCGGGUGCCCGGGCUGCCCCUCCCUCCGGCCGCCCGCGCUGCACCCGUGGGAGUUCCGUGUUUCCGAAGGGGUUCGAGCCACCGGGAGCAGCCUGGCAUUCGCUCCGGCUUCACUCCACGUUCGUUUUGCUGGGGAUACGGAAAUCUGCAUCCGGAGGAGCUGCUCUGGCACCUGAACCGACCUGCGGAGUUUGCAGGCAAAUAAGCCACAGGAAAGACCUCUAGCCCAAACAGAGGCAAUACAGAGGGUGGCAGACAGGGCUGGGGGCAUCCGGGUGCAGGGGGGAAGCAGAUAGCACCAGACAGUCUUAAAGACCUUUCACUGUCUGCAUUUAACCCUUGCCUUUCUGGAAACUGCUCUAAGUCACUGGGGAGGCUGGGCAAGCUGCUGGGAGGGGAGUGGAGCCAGGGUGGGAAUGGCCAUUCCUCCGUGGUCCUACGCUGAGCACAGCUGGGGACCAGCGAAGGGUUCUGGCCCUCCCGUGAAUUGAAUCCCACAUUUUUAGCAUUUGCAAUUCCCCUUAUACAUAUUGGCCAAGCCGGGCAGCUUCAUCUGCGUCGCAGCAGUGAACGCUGCGCUGGCAUCCUUCCUCCACAAGAGGCCUUUGGAUGGCCAGGGCAACACAGUGCUGGUGGAGCAGCAGGAGCUGCUGGCCGCAUCCUCGCGCCCCAGCCACGGCUUGCCCUAGCCUUCUUCCCCAGGUAUGCUCUCUGUGCUAAGCAGCUUGUAAAUACAAUAAUGAUGCUCCUAGUUUGCUCAGGGAAGAGAUAAAAAGGAAAAGAAUCAGGUUAGGUGGUGGGUUGCCCUGGGAGCCUGGGUAUCAGUGGUUGUUGAUCUUGCCUUGAGCCUCUGUUGGAACAGCCUGAACUAAUUAACCCUCUCGCACUCCAUAAUGAAGACUAAUAAACACCUAAUUGGCUUGCUUGAGCAAACAGCCUCUGCACAGGCAUAGGAAGCGCUGAGCUGCGUGGAGCUGAGUGGCAAAGCUGGGGUAGUGGUGUUGGUGGUGCUGGUGGUGGUGAUAGUGGUGAUGCUGCUCCUGCUCUCUAGGUCUCCUUGGGGACACCUUCCUGGUCCUCCUUGCACACCUUGGCUGUGCCUGGUGCCCUUGUGCUGGCUGGUGCCCCUGUGCUGGCACCCUGUGAGCCGCCUGCGGCAGGGACUGCUUGCAGACGGCCUGUGCCAUGGCAGGUGCUACCCCCUCUCUGGGGACCCAGCCGUAAGUGUGGUGAAAAUAAAUGAGCAAAUUCCUGCUGUGGACGAUAUGCCCAUCAUCCUGGUGCACGCAGUUGGUAAUCCCUUGGAGCAGGACUCUGGCGCCACCACCAAACCUGGUCCUGCAGGAAAUGUACUCAGAAAUAGUCUGCUUGAAAUACUGUACCAGAUGGACUACGUUUUCCUAACCUUUAGCUGGUUCCAAUGUGCAAACAGUUAAGAUCAUAAUGUUAACAUUUUCUCAGAUGUUUUAUGUGCAUAUAAAAUAUUCUCAGAGAAUGUGCUUUUGAAUGCAAAGUUUGAUCCAAUUACGAUUUUACUGGAGUUUAUAAAAACAUAAAAAAUA